RNAcentral lists this transfer RNA (74 nucleotides) under Planctomycetota bacterium. RNAcentral describes it as "tRNA-Arg". It matches the Rfam family "tRNA". From Rfam's summary of the family: Transfer RNA (tRNA) molecules are approximately 80 nucleotides in length. The record is from RNAcentral. RNAcentral also lists the same sequence under 1 other name. Lineage: Bacteria; Pseudomonadati; Planctomycetota.
GCGCCCGUAGCUCAACUGGACAGAGUGCCGGGCUUCGAACCCGGAGGUUACAGGUUCGACUCCUGUCGGGCGCA